This 103-nucleotide ribosomal RNA is filed under the name uncultured bacterium. RNAcentral describes it as "partial 16S ribosomal RNA". It matches the Rfam family "Bacterial small subunit ribosomal RNA", at positions 338 to 438 of the family's 1533-position model. The record is from RNAcentral.
CCUACGGGAGGCAGCAGUAGGGAAUCUUCCGCAAUGGGCGAAAGCCUGACGGAGCAACGCCGCGUGAGUGAUGAAGGUCUUCGGUAUACGUAAAACUCUGUUA